Ictalurus furcatus (blue catfish) is the source of this 1514-nucleotide long non-coding RNA. RefSeq lists it as uncharacterized. Lineage: Eukaryota; Metazoa; Chordata; Actinopteri; Siluriformes; Ictaluridae. The transcript is spliced from 4 exons. The record is from RefSeq and is a predicted model, not a curated record.
GAUUUUUUUGCCACCUUCUGCUGCUUCAUGGCUUGGACGUCUGGGCUGGGUGUUAUCGUCAGGGGGCUUGUCAAACCCUCGUCUGGUCCUUGAUGAUCAGCUGCACAAGCUGAAAGAUGGAGUUGGUGUAGAACGGCGGUUCCCCCGUGUGGAGCUCAUAGAGGAUGCAGCCCAAAGACCAGAGGUCAGCUGUGUGGUCAUAGGGUUUCUUUUUCACCAGCUCCGGAGACAUGUACAGAGGAGUCCCCUUAAUGGAGGUCAACACCAAUGUGGACACACUCAUGGCCCGAGCAAAUCUGGAAGGAGGAGGACGAGUCUGAGAGUGUUGUCUAAUUUCCACGACAAUUUGGUGUCUCCUGGCUGGGCUGCGCGAGUCUUUCAGCUUUUCUGGGCAACAAGCAAACUGGAGGAUGCUCGUAGAAAAGUUUCUCCCUGAAGUCCGUGUUGACACGCAGGUGGUUUGCCGUUUGUUGUGCAGAGCGGAAGACCGAUGCAGCCUUACCACUGACUGGCUGAAAAAAUUCAGGUCUUCACAUCCGGGUCUCACAGGAAGAGCAAUGGAUUGCCGAUACUAUUAUUACACGCUGCUCAGAACCGGCUAAAUGGUUGUGGUUGUGGUGUGGAUUGGGCCGAUAGUGAAACAGAAGAUGAACCAAGGGGUAAGUUAAGCUAUGCUUUAUUUAUCAACAGCGCAGGGGGAUAUUUUACUAUACUGUUCAAUUACUUCUCAUUUAUCCUUUCAGAAAAAUGGCAGUCAUUCAUUGUAGCGAAAUUAUGUUAGCUUUUUGUGACUAGCUAGCUAACGUUAGCUAACGAUGUUAUAUUUUGAACACCUGCACGAAGUCAAUGGCUUGGCUAACUACACACUUACUAGCUAGCUUUGCUGGUAGUCCUUAGGGACUGGACUGUAGCCACCUAGGUCAGAGAUGGAAAAGACAAUUUACAGCCAAUACAGGCAAUUUACUAAGGAAUUUUUUUAUAUAGCUUUUUUUUUUAUAGCUUUUUUUAUAGCUAUAUUUUUUUAUAGCUUUAUAACAGCUAUAACAACACCCAUUGUCCAAUCUCCAUAAAAGUUUGCAUGCAUCUUUCCAAUUAUAUAUUGCACAUCCUCACAUAGUUUCAUGAAGUUCUGACUUUACGUACUUUGGUAUUACCUUCCCUCAAAGUUUCAGCUCUCUAGUACUUACGGUUUGGUCUGCACAGUCAGUUUUAGGGCAGAAUAAUAAUAAAAUAAAAUAAAAAAAGAAUAAUAAAAAUCCUUACAAUCAACUGAUUGGGAUUUUUGCUGUUUUUGGUACAGGUAAGCAUGUUCAUUACUGUCCACGCUAAUCACAAAUACACGCCAAGUGGAUAGAGAAAAUGCUGUGGCGUUACUUUGAGAGGUCUCUACUUGUUUAGAGAGCUAACGGUAGUAGUGUUUCUCUAGGAGACGGUGCUGUGGACUGAGAGCAAGAAGGGAGAGAAAGUCCAGAUCACUGUCACGCUGACCAAUGAACUGCCUCCAUCCUCACUCA